GAAGUAAGAACUCUGGCAGAAAUACACAGACGUGAGUGGAAAGAUGCACAUUCCAGGCUGAACAAUGUCUGCAAUUUAAAUAAUUGCUAAACAGGCAAUUAUUUAAAAAAUGUGUCCAUCGUGUGCUGCUGUGUGAUGUGAUUGAUAUCAGACAAUAGAUCAGGAGAGAAACUGCAGACCCGUUCGCAUCUCUUUAUCCCUCAAUCAUCUCCUGAGGCUGAUACGGCAGUUACCAAGCAGGAAAUGGGGAGAGAAAGACAUGCGGCUGAGGUGGAACCCAACACGGCUCCAGUGCUCCAGUCUCUGUAUGCAGGGCACCAGAUCUACCACUGCAACCCGUGACGCCCUAUGGUUCAGACGUUCCCUAUCACCGCAAUGCUAAACCCUAAAAGAAAAAUGUCAAAUUUUCGAGCGAAAAGUUCAG
Molecule: long non-coding RNA, 424 nt
Organism: Poecilia reticulata (guppy)
Lineage: Eukaryota; Metazoa; Chordata; Actinopteri; Cyprinodontiformes; Poeciliidae
Source: RefSeq, a predicted model, not a curated record